This 21-nucleotide non-coding RNA is filed under the name Arabidopsis thaliana (thale cress). The record is from RNAcentral. Lineage: Eukaryota; Viridiplantae; Streptophyta; Magnoliopsida; Brassicales; Brassicaceae.
UUGGGGUAUGAUAUUGCUAAA